RNAcentral lists this transfer RNA (77 nucleotides) under Rickettsiales bacterium Ac37b. Its description in RNAcentral is "tRNA-Ile (GAT) (tRNA-Ile-GAT-1-1)". It matches the Rfam family "tRNA". Rfam says of the family: Transfer RNA (tRNA) molecules are approximately 80 nucleotides in length. Their secondary structure includes four short double-helical elements and three loops (D, anti-codon, and T loops). Lineage: Bacteria; Pseudomonadati; Pseudomonadota; Alphaproteobacteria; Rickettsiales. RNAcentral also lists the same sequence under 2 other names. The record is from RNAcentral.
GGGCUUGUAGCUCAGGUGGUUAGAGCGCACGCCUGAUAAGCGUGAGGUCGGUGGUUCAACUCCACCCAGGCCCACCA